CCUACGGGAGGCAGCAGUGGGGAAUAUUGGACAAUGGGCGAAAGCCUGAUCCAGCCAUGCCGCGUGUGUGAAGAAGGCCUUCGGGUUGUAAAGCACUUUCAGUGGGGAAGAAAGCCUUGGGGCUAAUACCCUCGAGGAAGGACAUCACCCACAGAAGAAGCACCGGCUAACUCCGUGCCAGCAGCCGCGGUAAUACGGAGGGUGCGAGCGUUAAUCGGAAUUACUGGGCGUAAAGCGCGCGUAGGCGGUCUGAUAAGCCGGUUGUGAAAGCCCCGGGCUCAACCUGGGAACGGCAUCCGGAACUGUCAGGCUAGAGUGCAGGAGAGGAAGGUAGAAUUCCCGGUGUAGCGGUGAAAUGCGUAGAGAUCGGGAGGAAUACCAGUGGCGAAGGCGGCCUUCUGGACUGACACUGACGCUGAGGUGCGAAAGCGUGGGUAGCAAACAGGAUUAGAUACCGUGUAUC
RNAcentral lists this ribosomal RNA (463 nucleotides) under Vreelandella stevensii. RNAcentral describes it as "partial 16S ribosomal RNA". It matches the Rfam family "Bacterial small subunit ribosomal RNA", at positions 338 to 794 of the family's 1533-position model. The record is from RNAcentral. Lineage: Bacteria; Pseudomonadati; Pseudomonadota; Gammaproteobacteria; Oceanospirillales; Halomonadaceae.